AAAGCGUGGGGAGCAAACAGGAUUAGAUACCCUGGUAGUCCACGCUGUAAACGAUGUCGAUUUGAAGGUUGUUCCCUUGAGGAGUGGCUUUCGGAGCUAACGCGUUAAAUCGACCGCCUGGGGAGUACGGCCGCAAGGUUAAAACUCAAAUGAAUUGACGGGGGCCCGCACAAGCGGUGGAGCAUGUGGUUUAAUUCGAUGCAACGCGAAGAACCUUACCUACUCUUGACAUCCAGAGAACUUAGCAGAGAUGCU
Molecule: ribosomal RNA, 255 nt
Filed under: Vibrio parahaemolyticus
Lineage: Bacteria; Pseudomonadati; Pseudomonadota; Gammaproteobacteria; Vibrionales; Vibrionaceae
Description: partial 16S ribosomal RNA
Rfam family: Bacterial small subunit ribosomal RNA
Source: RNAcentral